This 253-nucleotide ribosomal RNA is filed under the name uncultured bacterium. RNAcentral's name for it is "partial 16S ribosomal RNA". It matches the Rfam family "Bacterial small subunit ribosomal RNA", at positions 524 to 776 of the family's 1533-position model. The record is from RNAcentral.
UACGGAGGGUGCGAGCGUUGUCCGGAAUCACUGGGCGUAAAGGGCGCGUAGGCGGCAUGCCAAGCGUGUGGUGAAAGCCCGGGGCUCAACCCCGGGUCGGCCGUGCGGACUGGCGUGCUCGAGCACUGUAGGGGCGGGUGGAAUUCCGGGUGUAGCGGUGGAAUGCGUAGAGAUCCGGAAGAACACCAGUGGCGAAGGCGGCCCGCUGGGCAGUGGCUGACGCUGAGGCGCGACAGCGUGGGGAGCAAACAGG